Molecule: long non-coding RNA, 315 nt
Filed under: Mustela putorius furo (domestic ferret)
Lineage: Eukaryota; Metazoa; Chordata; Mammalia; Carnivora; Mustelidae
Description: lncRNA (ENSMPUG00000028632.1)
Source: RNAcentral
GCUAAAUACACGUUCCCUGAGAAAAGCAACAGAAGGUAAUGCCGGAUUGUAAGAAAGACUGCCUUCCAAGAGAUUUGUACCUAUCCAAAUCCCAUCAACAUUAGAAAAGAGAUGGCAUGUUCUCUCCAGCUCCCCAACCAUGGGCAUUGAAAGAUUUUUUGAAAAGUUCUUAGAGAAGGGAAAACGGAGGUUCAGAGAAAACAGACGUGGCCAGGUCACAAAGUGGAACUUGGGAGACAGGUCGGUAAGGCUCUUCACUACUGGGCUACCCUGCCUCUCUUGCCAUAGACAUUAGUGACCCUUCUUCAGGGGAGU